RNAcentral lists this ribosomal RNA (99 nucleotides) under Anaerococcus vaginalis. RNAcentral describes it as "partial 16S ribosomal RNA". It matches the Rfam family "Bacterial small subunit ribosomal RNA", at positions 1 to 94 of the family's 1533-position model. Lineage: Bacteria; Bacillati; Bacillota; Tissierellia; Tissierellales; Peptoniphilaceae. The record is from RNAcentral.
AUAAUUGAGAGUUUGAUCCUGGCUCAGGAUAAACGCUGGCGGCGUGCAUAACACAUGCAAGUCGAACGAUGAAACUUAGCUGAUUUCUUCGGAAUGAAA